Molecule: ribosomal RNA, 520 nt
Filed under: uncultured Glomus
Lineage: Eukaryota; Fungi; Glomeromycota; Glomeromycetes; Glomerales; Glomeraceae
Description: SSU rRNA
Rfam family: Eukaryotic small subunit ribosomal RNA
Source: RNAcentral
AGCAGCCGCGGUAAUUCCAGCUCCAAUAGCGUAUAUUAAAGUUGCUGCAGUUAAAAAGCUCGUAGUUGAAUUUCGGGACCGAUAUAUCGGUCGUGCCUCGGUACGUACUGGUAUUUUCGGUUUCUCCCUUCUGAUGAACCUUGAUGUCAUUAAUUUGGUGUCUUGGGGGAAUCAGGACUGUUACUUUGAAAAAAUUUAGAGUGUUUAAAGCAGGCUCACGCUUGAAUACAUUAGCAUGGAAUAAUGAAAUAGGACGUAUGAUCCUAUUUUGUUGGUUUCUAGGAUUGACGUAAUGAUUAAUAGGGAUAGUUGGGGGCAUUAGUAUUCAAUUGUCAGAGGUGAAAUUCUUGGAUUUAUUGAAGACUAACUACUGCGAAAGCAUUUGCCAAGGAUGUUUUCAUUAAUCAAGAACGAAAGUUAGGGGAUCGAAGACGAUCAGAUACCGUCGUAGUCUUAACCAUAAACUAUGCCGACUAGGGAUCGGAUGAUGUUAAUUUUUUAAUGACUCAUUCGGCGCCUU